Long non-coding RNA from Felis catus (domestic cat), 2531 nucleotides. RefSeq lists it as uncharacterized. The record is from RefSeq and is a predicted model, not a curated record. NCBI's taxonomy places the organism in Eukaryota, Metazoa, Chordata, Mammalia, Carnivora, Felidae. The transcript has 7 exons.
UCACGGAGUGUUCUAGAUUUUAAAGCAUGUUAGACACAGUUUUACUUUGAGGCAGAGUGACUUACAAGAGGGGUGCCUGCGAGAGAUUAAAAGAUUACACUUGUCGUCCCCUGCUUUCGUGGGAAAAGUACCAAUUUCUCUUUUGGCCUGUAGACUCAGACAAAACCAGCGUGGUGGCCUUCAUGGGCUGUUGAGCAGAGGUGGAGGAGAGCAGCAGGGAAGAGAUAGGGCAUCCUGGACUCCCCUCACGAGUCACCGAGGGUAAUUUUCUCAGAAGUCUAGAUGGAUGCCAGUAAGCCCGCUGUCCAGACAGGGGAGGUGAUAGAGCUCGCUUUGUGUUUCCAGUUGAAAACAAAGGCUCGUUAGGAUUCGCGGCCGCCUGUGCUGCCCUGGGGCUCCAGGGACCAGCUGGCACCUGGACGGCGGCUGUGAAAAAACACUGGAGGCAGAACUCAGCUGAGCUGCAACCUCGUGAGCUCAAGUGGGGGUCACCCCUAGCUGAGGUUACCGCUGAGGGAAUGGGGUCACCCGCCCCGGGAGAACCUGAGCGGCUGCGCGGGGACGCGGACAAAAGCCGCUUUGUGGAGGCGGCGAGUCCUUCAACGGCGCCACCGUGUGGCAGCGCCGGGAAGCCGCGGCGGCGGCGGGCGCCGCGGAUCCUGAGGCCGUCUCUCGCACGCCCUGACCUUCUCCCACCUUCUCUGACAGGACUCCAUGGUGACGGCCUGCCCCCUGAGGCUCUGCCCAGCUCUUAGAGGACACCACUCUCCAGGGGCUGCCCCAAACCUGGUGAUGCUCUUCAGGGCCUGGGGAGGAGGCUGAAGAGGCAGUUCUGGGCCUGAACUUCCCUGAUUCUCCCUGUCACAGCGGUUCUCAGCUCUCUCUCUCUGCCCCACCGCCAUCCCCAAACCAUCUGCAAGGUUCUACUCCCAUAACGAACUCAUCCUCAGGAAGAUCACCAGUCUGGUGCCUUCAUACACCCACCUGUUCCCAGGGGCCACUUCAGCCCGGCUCUGAGAUUUCACUGCAUACAACCCACGUCUACAUUUAAGGUUUCAAAGGACACCAUUCUGAAUAUUGUGCAUGUAUUUGCUCAUCAUGUCUUCAGAGCAAUUAUAGGAGAUGGGUGCUAUUACUAUCCCCAUUUUCCAUAUGAGGAAACUGAGACCCGAAGUCACAAGGCACAGCAUAUGAACCCUAGUACUGUGGCUCUGGAGCCCACAUGCUGGGCACUAUACUACAGCUGUCCAGCAACACUCCACAAAAGGCACAGGAUGGAGAGAAGAGAAACCAGAAAAAAGGGAUUUUGCCUGCAAUUUCUCCCUGUUCUCUGGAGUGACCCUAGUGCUUCCUGUGUGCUCUCCCCUCCCCCCAUCCCUUGACAUGAUGGACCCUUUCCUCUUGGGAACGGAAAGAGAAGAAAAUCAUCCAUGACAAGUAGCAGCUGUCAAAUAGGAAGCUUCAUGCUCCGGGAAAAGCGAAAUCUCCCACCAUGCAAACUCAUGUACUACAGGUUCAAGUACACUUUUCUUCUGUAGGGAAAUUGGAAAGACUGAAAUGAGCUCACCCAUCAGUGUUACCUCCAGCCUUCCUUGCUUUGUGGUCUUCUACAACUCUGAAAGUUUAAAAUGGACUCCAUACACUGAAAUCGGGGGACUUAGGGACAACGAGACAAGGAGACCCAGGGCCACCAAGCCACCACACCUUCCUUUGGUUGUUUCCUCUCUGCAGAACUCUCUCCAGAGCACCUCUCGCUCUUCUCUGCCUGCCUGGGAAACAAGACAGCAGACCUGAGGAGCAGCUUUCAUCUGCUGGGGAGGCAACCCCUCCUCCUCAGAACAUACUUCCCUCCCCAUGUUCGCAUAGAUUAAGUUUGAGAAAGAGACAGAGGGAGAGUGGGUCAGGAGCAGAGAGGGGGAGACACAGAAUCCGAGUUAUUUCAGUAGCUUCCUAACUGGUCCCCUUGCAUCCACCCUGCAUCCUUCCUGCAUCCAUUCUCCGUCUGUCUCUGCCUCCGUCUCUCUAUGCUGCAGCCAGACCGAUCCUGCUAAUGUGAGACACGGGGUCCCUCUGCUCAGAUGCCUCUGCAGCUGCCCUUUUCAUGCAGAGUAAAGCCAAAGUCCUCACAGAAGUUUAUAGGGUCUGACAGAAUUUGGUUUCCCAUUCUCUCUCGGACCUCGUCUCCUGAACUCUAUCCACUCAGGCACGCUGGCCUCUUUGCUGUUCCCCUCUGCACUGUCCAGAGCAGGGACCCUCUCAACUCAGGGCCCUUGUGUUUGCUGUUUUCUAACACUGGGAAACUCCUCUUCUAGACACCCACAUAGCCACAUGGCUCAUUCCCUCAACUCCUUCAGGUCUUUGUUCAAUGUUUACCUUCUUGGUGAACUGUAAACCAUCUCACUUAAAAUUGAACCACUGCAGGGGCACCUGGGUGUCUCAGCUGGUUAAGCGUCCGACUUCAGCUCAGGUCAUGAUCUCACGGUUCGUGGGUUUGAGCCCCACAUCAAGCUCUGUGUUGACAGCUCAGAGCC